RNAcentral lists this ribosomal RNA (492 nucleotides) under uncultured bacterium. Its description in RNAcentral is "partial 16S ribosomal RNA". It matches the Rfam family "Bacterial small subunit ribosomal RNA", at positions 29 to 507 of the family's 1533-position model. The record is from RNAcentral.
AGUGAACGCUGGCGGUAGGCCUAACACAUGCAAGUCGAACGGCAGCACAGUAAGAGCUUGCUCUUACGGGUGGCGAGUGGCGGACGGGUGAGGAAUACAUCGGAAUCUACUUUUUCGUGGGGGAUAACGUAGGGAAACUUACGCUAAUACCGCAUACGACCUACGGGUGAAAGCAGGGGAUCUUCGGACCUUGCGCGAUUGAAUGAGCCGAUGUCGGAUUAGCUAGUUGGCGGGGUAAAGGCCCACCAAGGCGACGAUCCGUAGCUGGUCUGAGAGGAUGAACAGCCACAAUGGAACUGAGACACGGUCCAGAACCCUACGGGAGGCAGGAGUGGGGAAUAUUGGACAAUGGGCGGAAGCCUGAUCCAGGCAUGACGGGUGGGUGAAAAAGGCCCUCCGGUUGUAAAGCCCUUUUGUUGGGAAAGAAAAGCAGGCGGUUAAUAACCCGGUGUUCUGACGGUAACCAAAGAAUAAGGAACGGCUAACUUCGUG